GCUCUUAAACCACACUAAUGAUGAAAGGCCAACCACUGAAAUCAGCCUCCGUAUUGGGCUUCAAAGCAGAGGGAAGAAACUGUGGGAUGAUGCCAGGAACCUAAGGCUCCCGCCCUUGGCCCAUGCACCUGUGCUCACCGUCACACCUGCAGUUGAUUCCAGCGGAUUGAAGCACUAUUUAUGAUGGCGGACCUGUGUCAUUCUUCGCUGGACUGUUGAGCCAUCAGCGUCAGUCUCUCUGAAAUCUGCAAAUUGGAAUCUGCGAGUUUUGUGAUUGUUUCUAACUGGUCUUUUUCUGUGUGUGUGUGUAUACUGUGAAUAAACGCACUGUCUCCUUUGCCAAGGA
This is a long non-coding RNA of Haplochromis burtoni (Burton's mouthbrooder), 346 nucleotides long. RefSeq lists it as uncharacterized. NCBI's taxonomy places the organism in Eukaryota, Metazoa, Chordata, Actinopteri, Cichliformes, Cichlidae. The record is from RefSeq and is a predicted model, not a curated record. The transcript has 2 exons.